CUCAGCAAAUCUCCUCUGCACAAUCAGCGCAAGGGGCAAAUGUUUUAGUUGAGUAAACUAUGGAAGGUGGAUAGAUUGCAACUUUUAUCUCUACCACACACACAUAUGUGUUGUGGGAGCUGCCGUAGACGAGUGUAAGUGUGCAGCCUGUCAAGAAGCUCGAUUUGUUUGAUCGAUAAAGUGCAGUGCGGUAGCAAAAGAGUCUAAUUGGAUCAAUACCUUUUAUGCACAUCAGUCUAGAGCCUGAAAUACCACGACAAAUGCAUAACACCUGUCAUCUACCUGUGGAGGAAACAAGUGGGCGGAUGCGUUUUCAGUCGCUCAUUCCUGACCAAGCACCAGGUUCGCUGCUGCAGGUACACCACAGGAAUGCCAACAUAGUGUGUUAU
This is a long non-coding RNA of Cloeon dipterum, 389 nucleotides long. RefSeq lists it as uncharacterized. The record is from RefSeq and is a predicted model, not a curated record. NCBI's taxonomy places the organism in Eukaryota, Metazoa, Arthropoda, Insecta, Ephemeroptera, Baetidae. The transcript is spliced from 2 exons.